This 219-nucleotide long non-coding RNA is filed under the name Gopherus agassizii (Agassiz's desert tortoise). RNAcentral's name for it is "lncRNA (ENSGAGG00000007727.1)". Lineage: Eukaryota; Metazoa; Chordata; Testudines; Testudinidae. The record is from RNAcentral.
UUCCAAUGUAUUAGGAGUAAUGGUGGCAAAGAAAGCAGAACUGCAAGUGGAGCUGCAGUAUUUCCUUGUUGGUGGACAGAUGAAAAGGAGUAGACUGUGUCCUCUUGGAAUCAAGCGCAAAGCGCACUUCACUUCUGAUGACUGCAAAGCUUAACCCAGGCUAUGAUAUUCAAAGAUGAGUACAUUUGGAGCAACUCCCAGCAAACAAAAGGAAGAGAU